GCAGUUCUCACCUCGCCGUUGGUCGCACUCUCAGUCUCCGUAGCUCGCUCGCUCUCGGGUUCGGGUGGAAAGGUGGAGACUCUCAGGAAAUCUAUUAUGGUGUAUACCAUAGCUUCCUUUCCCAUGAGAAACUUACCAUGUAGUUGGAAAGAUGAUAUAAAAGGAAACGAUUUCAGUAAUUUUUUAAAGUACCAUCAAUAAUAGAGGAAUGCAAAUUUCAGAAAAAUCUGACCUAGUCUGAAAGGAUCAAGGAAGAUGGCAUGCAAGGGAAUUAUUGAGCUCAAUUUUGAAAGAUGAUUUGGAAUUAUUCGGAGAGGGUAAAAAGAGUUUGUGGACCGAGGGAUAUUCUAGACAGAAGAACAUCAUGAACAAAGACGUAGAGGUGUCAAACAGCAUGCCAGCAGGGAUAGUUCUGACAGCAGCUGAGAUGGUCAAGUUAAUACCCUGAAGCAAGCUCAGAAAAAGGCUUGAGAAACAUCUGCAGCUCAAGCCUGUCCACAGAGGAUGCUCCAGGAGGUGCAGCUGCAUAAUGGCCAGCUCAGAACCCAGAUCUCCUGCUGCCCGGCACAGUGCCCUUUGGUGACACCUGCUCCCCAUCUCAAGGAUCCACUCUCCAUGGUUUGCCAUCCAGCCCUGGACCCAGGAGGCCUGACCUAUGUAGAUGGCUUCAAGAGUUUCCUUUGGCUUCCGGCUUCAGGUUGGGUCCAGUCAAUGGAAGUGCAGGUUAUUAGCAGAAGACCCUUAGGUGGCAGGAGAAUGGAGGCAGAUAUUUAUUGUCCCAGCUUCCUUCCUGCUGGGUUCCUGACAAGUGUGCUCUGAACCUAGCCAGAGGCCAUAGCUCCUGCCAGGUGGACCCUCCACAGAGCUGCCUCCCCAGGCUAUGUGACCAUUAGCCUUCAUGCUUAGAGGUAAUAACUGCCCCUGAGGUGGCAAACCUUGGGGGAAUGGCACCAUCACUUGUUACCUUCCCUAAACCAUGCCCACACACUUUAAGUAGUCCUUUCUGUUAAAUUCUCCUCCAAGUAUCCAAUGUGAGUUUUCCAUUUGAUUUUUGCCAACACCUUGAAUGCUGAAGUGUGUUCACUCUUUGCCUUUGUGUGAACUAAGCAUAUGGCAAAAAGUGCUAACACAAUCUCGAUUGUGUGGAGAAAUUCUGUACUCUCAAACUGCUUUAUUAAUAUGUCUCAUCUUCCUUUUCUUUAAGAAGAAACCAAAGCUCCAGUUUCCAGCCAGCUCUAAAUCUCUCUUGAGGUCAGCUUGCCCGCAGUCUGUCAGGAUUCAAGGGGUGAUUGCUACUGUUCGGGUUGGACAUUUUACAAUCCAUAUGCAGCCUCCAUCCCCUAGAAUAUGUGAACUAGAAAGAGGACAGAUAUUCUUAUGAUUGUUAUUGAAAAAUUAUUAAGUAAUUUUUUUCUUUUGUGUCCUUUUCCCUCGUAGGCAACUGGUCCUCUCACCAUAGCCUUUCAUUACACAUACACACUCUGUCGCAUUAAAAGGCUAGACUCUAGAAGCCAGAGACAUAAAAGCUUAACCUCUCAUAGUUAAAAAAAUAUAUAAAUGUUAUGGACUGAAUUGUGUACCCUAAAAAUUCACAUGUUGAAGCCAUAACCCAACAAUGUGGCUCUAUUUGGAGAUAUAAAUUUUAGAAGGUAAUUAAGGUUAAAUGAGAUCAUAAAGGUCGGAGCCCUAAUCUGAUAGUAUUAGUGGCCUUAUAAGAAGAAGAGAUCACACUUUGUCUCCCUUCCUGUCUCCCUGGCCCCCUCCCCCCACACCACUGCCGUCCCCACCGCGUGAGGACACAGCGAGAAGGUAGUUGUCUACAAGCCAGAAAGAGGGUUCUCAUCAGGAACUGAACCAGCCGGCACCUUGAUCUUGGACUUCCCAGCCUCCAGAACUAAAGAGAAAUAAAUAUCUGUUGUUUAAGC
This 1925-nucleotide long non-coding RNA is filed under the name Equus asinus (donkey). RNAcentral describes it as "lncRNA (ENSEASG00005037202.1)". Lineage: Eukaryota; Metazoa; Chordata; Mammalia; Perissodactyla; Equidae. The record is from RNAcentral.